CAAGAAAUGUGAUAAAGAAGAAAAGGCUGAAAAGACCAAGAUUAAAAAGAGCAAAGGUCUCGUUGCAUCUGUGCCAGAUAUAGCUCCUGGGUUUCUCCAGCUUGGGAAAGCAGCUUUAUUCUGAUUUUGCAGCCUAUGAAAAGAAACACCAAAGAAGUGAGCAAUACUUCCAGCUGAUAAGUCCCCAUUUGGUGGAAGAAAACCAAUUUCUGGGAUUCAACCAUUGUAAAUUAUCUGAAAGGACACUCCAGAUUUCUGCCCUGAUGGACAAAUGUGAACACCAGUUUGAAGCAUUUGAUGUUCAAACACAACAAAUGGAAGACACAGUGAGUAGCACUACAACACUAAAAAUGACCAAGUAAGAAUAGUUUCAAUACUUA
Molecule: long non-coding RNA, 380 nt
Filed under: Ursus maritimus (polar bear)
Lineage: Eukaryota; Metazoa; Chordata; Mammalia; Carnivora; Ursidae
Description: lncRNA (ENSUMAG00000023619.1)
Source: RNAcentral